RNAcentral lists this long non-coding RNA (2923 nucleotides) under Citrus x clementina. Its description in RNAcentral is "Citrus clementina (C. clementina) long non-coding RNA (CCLE_LNC002991)". Lineage: Eukaryota; Viridiplantae; Streptophyta; Magnoliopsida; Sapindales; Rutaceae. The record is from RNAcentral.
UAUUAAGCUAUUUGAUUUAAUAGAGUUAAUUUUUAAUAAAUUAUAAGAUGUACAGUUUAAUAGCAUUAAAAAUUUAACCCUAUUGAACAGCAAAGCUUAAUAGUGCGUUCGCAUGAGGAAAAAAAUGAGGGUCCCCCCCAAACACAUACAAUUCUUCUUUAGUGUAAGCUCCCUCAUUUUUUUCACACGGACAUAUUGUUAAACUGGACCGUUUAAUAAAGUCAAUAAAUAACACUAUUAAAAUAACACUAUUGAACCGCACAAUUUUAUAGUGCAUAAGAAUUUGAUGUUUAUUGGUUGAGAUUUUUCAUUCCUAUCCAAACUUUAAUAAAUACAUUUAAAAAAAAAAAGGAUCAAGAUUUCAUGCAUGUUAUACAUAUGAUUGUUCUAUCGUAACUAUGCAUAUGAUAUGUUUUCUAUAAAUUUGUAUCACGAAAAGUUAUCUCAAUAAAGGUAUUUGUUUAGCGUAAUAAUUAUGGUGUACCUAAAUGAGAUGGAAUUCUCAUAUUUCAACAUGAGCAAGAAUUAAGUAACAUUACAGAAUCAACUUAUCGAAAUAUAUUUCAUUUCACAAGAUCAGCUUCGACCCAUGCAAGUUGAUGCCACCAUGAAUGUGUUCAAUUUGUUGUAUUCGAACUAAAACAAAUAUUUUUGACCUGCUAGCACAAAUGUGAUUCCAAUAUAUCCUGGUCAAGCUAUAUGUAUACAGAUUCAAUCAAAUUAAUUAUAAUUAAGGUUAAAGAGAGCAAAAAAAUUCUAGACUCCGCUAAGAGUAUAUUUAAUUAACUACGAUAAUUGGGGGAUUGGCUUUGAAUUUGGGUAGUUAUCACAAAUGUCCCACGAGGUUUUGGAAAAAUUAAAAGCAGCAUGAAAAAUUGAAGAAGAUUCCUCAUUUCAUUUAUUUACAAGAAGUUAUCACAUGAAUAUAUAACAGGGCUAAUGAGCUGCAUAAGGUAAUGAAUAAAUCUAAUAUCUAAUUCAUAUAUCAAAGGGAUUGCAAAUAAAAUAAAUACAGAAAGCCAAGACAAUCUCUUGACAGAAAUCAAUUACAUAAAUUAAGGGAAAUCAACCUUGAGUCCUUGACACAGCACAACGCUAAUCAUAAUAUUCUAGCAAAGAAGAAAUAAUUGGCAUCGCGUACCAACUAAGAAGAUUAAUCAAUCUUUGUUUAACCUUUUCUGCUUAUUUUUAUUUUUUGCUGGAGUUUUGUGCUGAAAGCUGUUUUUUUUUUUUCUUUUUUUUUUAUGAAAGCGGGUUGAGAAAGACAAGUUAUAUUAUAUAUGAUACCCUAGCUAGCGAUUUACCAAAUAAUGGGUGCGUUUGGGAUUGAGGUUGGGCAGCUGUAGCUUAAAAGCUACAGCACUAAAGUGUUUGGUAAACGCUAGUUACUGUAGCUUUUAAGUUAUGUUGAUAUGAUUUUUCACUAUAAUACAAAAUUUAUUAUAUCUUUAAUAAUUUUAUCAAAAUUAUUAUUUAAAAUUUAUAUUUACUAGAUAUUAUUAACUUUUGUUUCAUAAUUACAGCUUUUUUUUCACAGCAGUUGUAGCUUAAAAGCUACAGCACCUCAAUCCCAAACGCACCCAAUAGCCAUAGUAUUUUCUUUUCUUUAAUAAUGCAGCAGCAAUAGCUUUUAGAUUACAAUAUUUCAAUGGCUCAAUUUCAAACAAAAUCUUAAUUCAAUUAAAAUUUAUGAAAAAUUUGCAACCACUUAAUAAAUAGAUGGAACAAAAAUGAAAUUUAAGAUAAAAAUUUAAGAUUUCUAGCCAUCUCGUUACUCUUAUCAUUAGUUAAUUUAUUACUCAGAGAGAUGCUUUUGACAAUAUGGCUUUAUUGUUUAUUAGGAUCCCCUAAGUUACAUUUCACGUACCUUACAUCACUGAAAAUAAACACAUCAAUAACAAUAUAGUUCAUUCAAAUUUCGAUUUUUACAGCUAAAGUAAACAGUUUAUUCUUAUUCUCAUUAUGCUUAAAGUAAACUGUUGUUUAAUUCGAAUUAGAUUCUACUUUUCUCUUUGUUGCACCCAUUUUUGCUCUCUUUUGUAGGUACACCUGCCACACCACAUACUAUUCAUGUGAGUGAAUGUAAGGUACAUGAAAUAUAAUUUAGAAUUUGUCUUAUUUAUUAUUCUAUUGUUAAUAGUAAUUGACUUUAUGAGUUGGCCAAUUUGCCGAAUUUGGUUUUGAUGCGAAGUGUUGGCAUUUAUAAGACACCACACACUAUUCAUGUGAGUGGAUAUAAGGUACAUGAAAUGUAAUUUAGAGUUUGCUUUAUUUAUUAUAUAUUCUAUUGUUGAUCAUAAUUCACUUUAUGAGUUGACCAAUUUGCCGAAGUUGGUUUUGAUGUGAAGUGUUGGAAUUGAUAUGACAUAGGAUGUAAAUCAAGAGAAUCAUUGAAAAAAAGUAAGAACCACAAUAACUUAAUCAAGAGACUCACUAUGGUUCACAGAAGAUAGGACUGGGAGUAUUCAAGUUCCAAUCCAAACCAAUCGAUCCAAUUUAAACUAAUCUAAUUGUUGUUGGAUUGAUCUUUUAAUUAGAUUGAAUUGGAUUACAAAAUAAAAAAUCUAAUGUUAUCGUAUUGGUUUGGAUCUAUGCAUUAAAAUCGAACAUAAAUCAAUCCAACCAAUUAAUUUUUAUUUAUUUAUUUAUUUAUUAAAAAAGCUACAUGUCACUUUUAUAUUUAACUUUAAAAAAAUUAAUUUUUCUUAUAAAAAAUAAAACAUGGUUUUGUACAACUAUAAAUAAAUAAUAAUAAUAUAGAGUACAAACUGCAAGCCACAAUAAGUGUUUACUUUUAAUAUUCAAAUUUCAAUUUUUUUUUUCACCCAUAUAGUAAUAAAACACAUGAAUCAUGAAAUAUUAAAGGAGUUUAUAUAUAUAUAUUUUUUCAAUUGUCAGUAAUUAGAACUCUAGAAAGCAAUUG